GUUUCGGCUUUAUUAAUGAUAUUUUUCUCUCAAAAAUCCAUUAAAGUUUCAGGAUGAUUUUUGGUCACUUUCUUGACUCAGAAAUAUCCAACACAAUACUCAAAAACUAAUCCUAAAAAAUAAAGAGAAACCAAAAUUCAAAACUUAAGAAAAAACUUACCUUUCUAACGAUUUAUAACCGUCUUUUAACGGUGAGCCUCCCUCCUCUUCUCU
RNAcentral lists this long non-coding RNA (213 nucleotides) under Carica papaya (papaya). RNAcentral describes it as "long non-coding RNA (CPAP_LNC008184)". Lineage: Eukaryota; Viridiplantae; Streptophyta; Magnoliopsida; Brassicales; Caricaceae. The record is from RNAcentral.